CGAAUUGCGCUAUUUAAUGUGAAUUGCAGAAUUCAGUGAAUCAUCGAAUCUUUGAACGCACCUUGCG
RNAcentral lists this ribosomal RNA (67 nucleotides) under uncultured Clavariaceae. RNAcentral's name for it is "partial 5.8S ribosomal RNA". It matches the Rfam family "5.8S ribosomal RNA", at positions 49 to 115 of the family's 154-position model. From Rfam's summary of the family: 5.8S ribosomal RNA (5.8S rRNA) is a component of the large subunit of the eukaryotic ribosome. Lineage: Eukaryota; Fungi; Basidiomycota; Agaricomycetes; Agaricales; Clavariaceae. The record is from RNAcentral.